RNAcentral lists this long non-coding RNA (211 nucleotides) under Lathyrus oleraceus (garden pea). Its description in RNAcentral is "Pisum sativum (pea) long non-coding RNA (PSAT_LNC035712)". Lineage: Eukaryota; Viridiplantae; Streptophyta; Magnoliopsida; Fabales; Fabaceae. The record is from RNAcentral.
UUCCUCUUUCUCUCUUUUUCUUUCUUUUCUUUUCUUCUCCUUUUCCUGAUAACUCUCCUUCUCUCUUCUUCUAUUCUUAUCCUCUUUUAUUACCAACCUUCCCUCUUCUUAUCCACCACACACAUACAUAUACUAUAUAAUAUAUAUAAUAUAAAACAUUAAGUAGUGACAUAAAAUAUCCCAAGUGAUAUUUUGUCUUCUAGUACCAAUU